UCCUGGUGGUAGUCUAGGUGGUUAGGAUACUCGUCUCUCACCCGAGAGACCCGGGUUCAAGUCCCGGCGACGGAA
This 75-nucleotide transfer RNA is filed under the name Hordeum vulgare. Its description in RNAcentral is "tRNA-Glu". The stretch from base 9 to 68 matches the Rfam family "tRNA", at positions 7 to 64 of the family's 71-position model. Rfam says of the family: Transfer RNA (tRNA) molecules are approximately 80 nucleotides in length. Their secondary structure includes four short double-helical elements and three loops (D, anti-codon, and T loops). Lineage: Eukaryota; Viridiplantae; Streptophyta; Magnoliopsida; Poales; Poaceae. The record is from RNAcentral.